This 822-nucleotide ribosomal RNA is filed under the name Pseudarthrobacter scleromae. RNAcentral describes it as "bacterial SSU rRNA". It matches the Rfam family "Bacterial small subunit ribosomal RNA", at positions 56 to 890 of the family's 1533-position model. The record is from RNAcentral. Lineage: Bacteria; Bacillati; Actinomycetota; Actinomycetes; Micrococcales; Micrococcaceae.
UGCAGUCGAACGAUGAUCCCAGCUUGCUGGGGGAUUAGUGGCGAACGGGUGAGUAACACGUGAGUAACCUGCCCUUAACUCUGGGAUAAGCCUGGGAAACUGGGUCUAAUACCGGAUAUGACUCCUCAUCGCAUGGUGGGGGGUGGAAAGCUUUAUUGUGGUUUUGGAUGGACUCGCGGCCUAUCAGCUUGUUGGUGAGGUAAUGGCUCACCAAGGCGACGACGGGUAGCCGGCCUGAGAGGGUGACCGGCCACACUGGGACUGAGACACGGCCCAGACUCCUACGGGAGGCAGCAGUGGGGAAUAUUGCACAAUGGGCGAAAGCCUGAUGCAGCGACGCCGCGUGAGGGAUGACGGCCUUCGGGUUGUAAACCUCUUUCAGUAGGGAAGAAGCGAAAGUGACGGUACCUGCAGAAGAAGCGCCGGCUAACUACGUGCCAGCAGCCGCGGUAAUACGUAGGGCGCAAGCGUUAUCCGGAAUUAUUGGGCGUAAAGAGCUCGUAGGCGGUUUGUCGCGUCUGCCGUGAAAGUCCGGGGCUCAACUCCGGAUCUGCGGUGGGUACGGGCAGACUAGAGUGAUGUAGGGGAGACUGGAAUUCCUGGUGUAGCGGUGAAAUGCGCAGAUAUCAGGAGGAACACCGAUGGCGAAGGCAGGUCUCUGGGCAUUAACUGACGCUGAGGAGCGAAAGCAUGGGGAGCGAACAGGAUUAGAUACCCUGGUAGUCCAUGCCGUAAACGUUGGGCACUAGGUGUGGGGGACAUUCCACGUUUUCCGCGCCGUAGCUAACGCAUUAAGUGCCCCGCCUGGGGAGUACGGCCGCA